GAUGAACGCUGGCGGCGUGCCUAAUACAUGCAAGUCGAGCGAACGGACGAGAAGCUUGCUUCUCUGAUGUUAGCGGCGGACGGGUGAGUAACACGUGGAUAACCUACCUAUAAGACUGGGAUAACUUCGGGAAACCGGAGCUAAUACCGGAUAAUAUUUUGAACCGCAUGGUUCAAAAGUAAAAGACGGUCUUGCUGUCACUUAUAGAUGGAUCCGCGCUGCAUUAGCUAGUUGGUAAGGUAACGGCUUACCAAGGCAACGAUGCAUAGCCGACCUGAGAGGGUGAUCGGCCACACUGGAACUGAGACACGGUCCAGACUCCUACGGGAGGCAGCAGUAGGGAAUCUUCCGCAAUGGGCGAAAGCCUGACGGAGCAACGCCGCGUGAGUGAUGAAGGUCUUCGGAUCGUAAAACUCUGUUAUUAGGGAUGAACAUAUGUGUAAGUAACUGUGCACAUCUUGAAGGUACCUAAUCAGAAAGCCACGGCUAACUACGUG
Molecule: ribosomal RNA, 497 nt
Filed under: uncultured bacterium
Lineage: Bacteria
Description: partial 16S ribosomal RNA
Rfam family: Bacterial small subunit ribosomal RNA
Source: RNAcentral